CCUACGGGGCGCAGCAGUGGGGAAUAUUGCACAAUGGGGGAAACCCUGAUGCAGCGACGCCGCGUGAGUGAAGAAGUAAUUCGUUAUGUAAAGCUCUAUCAGCAGGGAAGAAAAUGACGGUACCUGAGUAAGAAGCCCCGGCUAACUACGUGCCAGCAGCCGCGGUAAUACGUAGGGGGCAAGCGUUAUCCGGAUUUACUGGGUGGAAAGGGAGCGUAGACGGCAGUGCAAGUCUGGAGUGAAAGGCGGGGGCUCAACCCCCGGACUGCUCUGGAAACUGUACGGCUGGAGUGCAGGAGAGGUAAGUGGAAUUCCUAGUGUAGCGGUGAAAUGCGUAGAUAUUAGGAGGAACACCAGUGGCGAAGGCGGCUUACUGGACUGUAACUGACGUUGAGGCUCGAAAGCGUGGGGAGCAAACAGGAUUAGAUACCCUUGUAGUC
This 440-nucleotide ribosomal RNA is filed under the name uncultured bacterium. RNAcentral's name for it is "partial 16S ribosomal RNA". It matches the Rfam family "Bacterial small subunit ribosomal RNA", at positions 338 to 795 of the family's 1533-position model. The record is from RNAcentral.